This 2050-nucleotide long non-coding RNA is filed under the name Panax ginseng (ginseng). RNAcentral describes it as "long non-coding RNA (PGIN_LNC016136)". The record is from RNAcentral. Lineage: Eukaryota; Viridiplantae; Streptophyta; Magnoliopsida; Apiales; Araliaceae.
AAGAACGGACCAAAGCAACAACGAGCCGAAGCAAAAAAAACAUGCGGGUUGAGUUUUGGGUCGAAAAAAUACGCGGGUUGAGCUUUGGGUCGAAAAAACACGCAGGUUGAAAUAAAACCAAAGCAAAGAUCAGAUGCAAAACUUUCAUUUUCUCUCUCCAACUUUUCCCUCCCUCUCCCCUCUUUCAUAGGAUAUCGGUAGCAGACGGAAGAGUUAAGGUAAAGGCCAACGAAAGGUCUCCAUAGCAAACGGAUCGAAAGGUAAAGUUCCAUAAUUUUAUUGGGUUUGUAAUUUUUGUUUAUCGCGUUAAAAAUCUAGGGUUUGUUCUUUACUUUCUGACCCUUAAAGAGUCUCAUCUUCGUCGUUGGGAGAGUCAGUGGCGUCGGCGUCGAUAACAGAUAUCGUACAACUCGUGGCCCGCCGGUAUUCAGUUCGGUCAUCUUCGUCUUCUUUCCGGAGAUACCUUCUGUCGUCGUAGUUUGUAUUUUGUGCCUUGAUAGAGUCGUCUGUCUAAUACAGGAGAUACUAAGGUGUGUCUCUUUGAUGUUAUAACAAGAAUAUGUUUUGUUUUCAUGAUUAUUGGAAUUUUAUGAUCUUCUAGUUCUACUGCUGCUGUAAUUAUUUUUCUUGUUAAAUGUGUUACUGAUAAAUACUCCCUCUUUUCCUUUUUAAUUGAUGUCUUAAGACUAAGCACAAGAAAUGUAAUUAAUGCUUUAUCUAAUUUAAUAAAUUGGGUAUAAACUAUCAAUUAUCACCCUUCUAAAAUUUAUUAGCAAGAUGAGAGAAAAGAUGGAAAGUUAUCCCAUUAGAGUAAAUUAGUUCAAAAGAUGAGAGGGAAACAAAUUUGUAUUAAUAAUUAGGGAUAUAUAUAUAAGAAUCUACAAACCACAUAUAAAAAGGAACAAAAAUUUCUCUUAAAAAAGACAAUUGAAAAGGAACAGAGAGAGUGCUUUUAAUUUGUGUCGGAAAAUUCUAUAUAUGUUUGCCUUAAAAUUAUGAGCAAUAAAUGGAGAGUUCUUCCUUUGAUGAUAAUAAACUACUGUAGCCAUAUCCUCUCAUUCAACUAAAUGAUAAUAAAUGGAGAAUUCUAUACAUGUUUGCUUUUAGAUGGUGAUUUUUGUCUAUUGUUUUAGUUUUCAGGUUCUACAUUUUUUGGUUUUUGUGUGACCUGUCACAUUCUAUGGCGUCUUAAUUGUAAUACUAGCUUUUUGGGGGUACCAGGUAAAAGAAUGCUAAUAAAACAUAUAUAUAAAGUAAGGGCUGCAUAGAUGCAACUAUGGGUAGUUGCUUAAGUAGUCCUUAUGUAACGAAUCAUAUGCUUUCAUUAAAUUAAGGCACAUUUAGAUGUUCUUGAUCUUUAUAGUAAUUGUUAAAAGUGAUACUUUCAUUAUCCUGUAUUGAACUCUAAUUUCAUUUUUCUUUCACCUGUACAUCCAUUUAUUGUGCCAAUAUCUGCACAUGCUUAUUGUUUUAGAGCUUGCUUGCCGUAUUUCCUAACCUAUAAGCUUGAUGAUGCAGAAUUUGUAUAAUUCAAAAGUCAGGAAAGUGGUGGUGGCACUAAUUCAAGGUCAGUGCAGUAUAGAUUUUUGUGAAAGGGAAAAUUAGCAGCUUAUGAUGUAACAUUCCAUAUUUUUUGAAAGAUUUUGUUGGCAAAUAAUGGUACAAAGUUUUUUUUAUUGUUAUUUUGUUGUCUUUUCUCAUAGUUUCAUAUAAUAUCUGAAUUUACACGUCUUUUUUUAUGAUGUAAUGUUUUGGUAAAAUUGCAUAGCAAGAAAAUUAGUGUACGACAACAAGACAGGUAAUUUUGUCUUUGAUGGAUGCUAAAUAAUUUCAUUUUGUUUUGCCAUCAUUUAAUUCGUCUAUUCUAUUGAAAAUGGAUUUAGAAAGUUGGGUAUAACUCCUGAAGAUCAAAAGAAGUUCAGCCAUAAUGUAGUAUACUUUUUCUUUUGGAAAAGCAACUACCAAUCUCAUACUUAAUUCUUGUCCCUAAAAGAUUGAAGCACAAUCUUUAUAAUUGUGCUUUAUAAAUUAUAAGUAUCAAACACACAAG